GGUGGUAAAAUUGGAGGUGACUAGGCUUUGACGUGAUCAUUCCUUGAGUUCAAAGCCGAUAGUGUUCUUGAGAAGAUAAGACUGCAGUAGCGCAUCGGUUAGGAAUGACCUCAUCCAACUUCUAUGUGGAUCACCGUUGGAGGACUUCUAUUUUGGAGUCUCAUGAAGAUAACCAACAUGCCACUUUUUAUUUUGGUGAAAGUAUAAAAUUUUAUCCCUUUGCAUGCUUGUUUAUGUUUUGAUCGAUAUCGAUAAGGUGAUUGUAGGAUUUGGAUUUUGGCUCAAUAGUUUUAAUUGUUUAAGCCAUUGACUUACUUAUUUUUAAAUUUUUAAAAAGUA
Molecule: long non-coding RNA, 339 nt
Filed under: Elaeis guineensis (African oil palm)
Lineage: Eukaryota; Viridiplantae; Streptophyta; Magnoliopsida; Arecales; Arecaceae
Description: long non-coding RNA (EGUI_LNC055208)
Source: RNAcentral